UUUACACGCACCUGUUGAACGUUACGACACUGCGGUCAACAUUAGCGAUAUAUUUAUAGAGAUAGAAACGUGAACGGAUCAAACGUCAAGUGGAACUUGGACCAACAAGAGACCAGUUUUUGCAAAAAAUCGAAACAAUGAAGUUGAUUUUGGCAAUUGUUCUCUUUUCGGGAUUGUUGUUGCAAGGUAAGAAAAAAACAUAAUUUUAAAAAGAGAUUAUGGGUACCGUAUAGUGGGUUAUUUUGUCGGGAGUAAAAUUUCGCGAUUUUCAUUGCAUAAGGUAUACGUAAUAUUUUAGCGGCUAUUAUUUUUGGCGGAUUCAAAACUUUUAUCAAUACCUUUGCAUGUACACUUUUAAUUUUGCGGAAUAUAUUUUGGCCAUUUUGUUCUAUCCACGAAAAUAAGCGAAAACUUUUACCCUGCGAAAAUAACCCGCUAUACGGUAUUAUAGCCCAGUAGUCAACACCUCUGUGUUUUGUUCUGCGUUGACAUGAAUUAUCAUUGCUAUCAUAGCUAUGGUCAUAAUUAUAAAUUAACUGUUUAAAAAACUUUGUUUUUUUUAAAUAAUAAGGCCUUUCUACCUCAGAAAUGGAUUAUAUUAUCUCUAUUUGGCAAAACUUUUAAGAACUUUUGGUCCUACAUGCUGUUCAACUUUGUACUUAAUUUGGCCUUUUUAACUUAUUUUUAUUCGAUCGUCACUGCUGAGUCUUUUGUAGACAAAACGCUCGUCUCGCGCAAAUACAAAAUUUCAAUCCUGAUAUCUAUGAUGACUUGAUGUAUAGCCCAAUUCGUGUCUCGAAAAGUGAUAUGGGUAUGGGUUACAUAGUUGAUUUUAGAAUAAGAAUCAUUAAAUCAUUAUAUGCCCCCACCCCCCACCCCCUUUUCAUCUUUCUCUUCAUCUUGAUUUUGUAUUAACUUUGUAUUAUAAAUCAAAUUUAUUCAUUCACUUGUGUUGAUAUGUCUUUUGAUUCGAUUAAGCCAUUUCAGUUGAUAUUUUAUAGUGUGUCUUUCUAUGUUGUGAGGUUAACACUAUUUUUUGUCAGGUAAGGGUGAAUGUUUGGUACCCAUUAAAACGUUUAAACCCGCGGCAGUUGUUUGCACCUGUCCUAAGUCAGGAAUCUGAUGUUCAGUAGUUGUUUCUAGUUUCUCGUUUUUUUUUAUAUUGAUUAGACCUUUGGUAUUCCCGUUUGAAUGGUUUAACACCUUGCAAUUGUGAGGCCCUUUAUAGCUUGCUGUUCGCCAAGGCUCCGUGUUGAAGACCGCGCUUUGACCUUUACUGGUUUACUUUUAUAAAUUGUGACUUUGAUAAAGAUUUGUCUCAUAGGCACUCAUACCACAUCUUCUUAUAUUACCCCCUUCUUAUAAAAUUUGAAAGUUUGUGAAUGUACGCUUUUUCAAUUUCAGGGCAAAACAUGGCUAUGUAUGUGCCUGUCCCAAGUCAGGAGCCUGUAAUUCAGUGGUUGUCGCGUUUGUUUAUGUGUUAUAUAUUUGUUUUUCGUUAAUUUUUUUUAUAUAAAUAAGGCCGUAGUUUUCUCAUUGUUGAAGGCCGUACGGUAACUAUAGCUGUUAAUUUCUGCAUGUGUGAUUUUGGUCUCUUGUGGACAGUUGUCUCAUUGACAAUCAUACCACAUCUUCUUUUUUAUAUCUAGUUACUAUCGUUUAAUUUAAUUUUUAAUUUUGUCUUAAAGUUGUUCUAAAUUGCAUUUGUAAACGUCUAUAAGUCUACUGCUACGAGGGUCUUGCACGGUCAGCCCCCAUUUUUGAAACAUUUUUCAUAACAGGAAUUCGUGAAUGAUAACAUAUCGCAAUUUUACACUGACGAUUAAGAUGAAGGUAUGCACACGAAUAUUUUUUUGCCAAGUCUUAUAAUUUAUCUACAUAAAACUUUCACGCAUGUACAUAUUUUAAUAAUAAAGAACAAACUACACAAAUCUCACAUGAACCUAUAGACCAAAAACUGGGGCUUCUAGACUACACGAAUCAGAAGGAUUGCGAUAUUCUGUUGCAAUAUUGACGCAACAGUUCAAGACGACAAGGAUAACAAUCGGUUGACACUUUCACUGACAGCAUGACGCAAGAUCCACGAAAACCGAUUUUAUUCAUGCCGUCCUUACACAAGUUAUAUUCUAAUCCAGUGGCAUGUAGCUCUAAGUCUCAAUGGACAGUCACAUAAAACAUUGAAUCGAUGGCGAUGGCGAUGGCAUAUGGAUCCCUCUCCCUCUCCAGUCACACAGCAGUGAUUAUAAGCUACCAAAUAUUGUCCACAAUGUAACAUCAUUUGUUUUGGUUAUUACGAUCACGUGGUUCAAAGAGUAUUCCAUGUUUUGGUUAUUACGAUCACGUGGUUCAAAGAGUAUUCCAUGUUUUGGUUAUUACGAUCACAUGGUUCAAAGAGUAUUCCAUGUACUGGAAGGUUUGCUUCUCUUUUAAAGUAUACUAGAAGAUGCCCGCGGAAUCGCGAUACAAUUAGACAUGUGUUGAAACGAAGAGUUUGAGCACAGUAAUAAGGUGGGCACAGUAAAAAAUUAAAUGAUUAAAACACGAUUAAGGUAGCUCGGGACUAUUCGACUGCGCAUAAUUUCACGCAUGGAUUACAAAAGUAUUUGUCGUUAAUUCGAUAAUUUUUUUUUAAUAUUUUGAUUGAUUAGAAAUGUUAAAUCAUUGUAGUUAUGUGAAUAAUAGAAUAUUUUCGUUAUAAUCCCUAUUUGUUAAAGGGUCAAAUGACAUUUCACCCACUUUUACCAUUUUCCCGUCAAAAUUUGGGUUUUACGGUAAAAUAUAUUUUUUUCCUUAUCGGUGACCUAUUUUUUUUAUUUGCUCAUUCUAUGAAGCUAUAUUUUAGCUUUUUAUACUACAGUUUUGGACCAUGUGUCAUAGAACGUUUUUUUGAUAAUCCGAUAAAAAUAUUCACACCUCUAUUCCCUAUCAUUUCAUUGAAAAAUGGUCCCUUUUACAUACCUGUUUAAAAGUAAAAUUUUGAGCUUAAAUGGUCCGUGACCCCCUAUUUUUUUCGACCAAUUUGAUUCAAUUUCUGUAAAGAAUAAAAUAACAAAAAAUACGGCACUUCUGAUAGAAACUUUUAAUAGGCCCCGAGCCACCUUAAUGCAUUUAAUUCUUUUGCAUUAAAGAGAUGAAAAUCUGGAACAUAAUGCAAAAAACACCCACUCAUCUUUGUUUGAAAAUAGCAUAUCAAGAUACCAUACUUAAGUGUGACAGAGUGUGAUUUUCACUUUUACCCUUUAAGCUCAAUAACCGUAUGAGGUACUUCCAAUCCGUUUACCGACUGGGACAAAAAUGAGUAACACAAUGGAAAAACACUCAUCUUAAUCGGAUAAAAAAACAAGAGGCUGUCACAACGACAGCAAACCGGAUUUAUUAACAUUUAUUUGUGUCCUGGCAAUAUCACAAGAACCAUAACUGAUUAACGUGAAAGUGAAAAUCGUCAAUAUCAAAUUUGACCUCCAUUUUGUCAUCCGUAUCAACAUAUUAAAAUUUGAAAGAGUUUAGGUUGAAUGGUUCAUGAGUAAAUGCAAGAACAUGAAUGGAAACGCCAUUUUUUUAUCUUUCAAGAACUAUAACUCCUGAAUGGUAAAAGUCAAAAUCGUCAUUCUUGAACUUGACCUCAAUUUUGUCAUCAGUAACAAAAUAUUAAAAUUUGAAAAGCUUUGGUUGUUCAAUUCAUGAGUAAAUGCACGGACACGACUGGAAACACCAUUUUUCAAUCUUUCAAGAACCAUAACCUGAACGGUAAAAGUCAAAAUCGUAUUAUUGAACUUGUCAAUGACCUCCAUUUUGUCAUCAGUAACAACAUAUUCAAAUUUUGGUAGCUAUGGUUGAACAGUUCAUGCGUAAAUGCACGGACACGACUGGAAACACCAUUUUUCAAUCUUUCAAGAACCAUAACUCCUGAACGGUAAAAGUCAAAAUCGUAUUCUUGAACUUGUCAAUGACCUCCAUUUUGUCAUCAGUAACAACAUAUUAAAAUUUGGGUAAGCUUUGAUUUAACAGUUUAUGCGUAAAUGCACGGACACGACUGGAAAUGCCAUUUUUCAAUCUUUCAAGAAUUAUAACUCCUGAAUGGUAAAAGCCAAAAUCGUCAUUCUUGAACUUGACCUUCAUUUUGUUGUCAGUAACAACAUAUUAAAAUUUUAAAAGCUUUGGAUGAACGGUUCAUGAGUAAAUGCACGGACAACAUUUGGUUGCCGCCCGCCCGACCGCCCGCCCGACCGCCCGACUCAUUAGGAGUCAACCCCUCUAGAAUCUCUGUUGACAUACUCAAGUUGCAGAACUUUAUUAGCAUUAAAUAAAACUCCAUUAAAAUAUGUUGAAAAACAACACCCACACGUCGACUGAUCAUGCGCGAAAUCGUAUGAGAGACUGAUUGAUGACGAUCUCAAAAUUUGGAUAUUAAAAAAAAUGGCGUUUUCUAUGGAAAAAAAUUGUUUCAAAGACAAAUUAAGGAAGUACACAACACUACAUUUAUACCUCAUAUCACAAAUAUUUUCAAAUUUGUAUUAAUAUGUCUUAGAGGGGUUGUUGCUCAAUGAAAUCAGCUUCUUCCUUUGGUCGGGAAUGACGCAGAUAUAAGACGUUCCGGUCCGAAAUGACUAUCAAAAACACAAAGAGUAUGAAAGUCCAUUUCCGUAAUACAGUAUUUACAUAUACUGAUCAGUGGCGGAUCCAGAAAUGUUCAUAAGUGGGGACCCACUGACUGCCUAAGAGGGGGCCCGCUCCGGUCAUGCUUCAGUGAUUCCGUAUAUAAUCAACCAAAUUUUCUCCAGAAAAGGGGGGCCCGGGCCCCUGCCCACCCCUAAAUCCGCCUCUGCUGAUAUGCUAUAUAAAUUAAGGACUUCUGACAAUGUGAAUAAAGUCUUGUUCAGAUGACAUUGCCUUCGUCGUCGGUCAAUAUAAUCUGAACAGGUCUGCGUCCGUGUACAUUUACGCCAAACAUUUGUUAUUUUGAAAUUACAAAUAGAUUUAGCAAACUGACCGUCCAAAUAUAUAUAAUGUGUUGUCUUCCUCAAAAAUCUUUCAUUUAAUUAUUAUAAUAUGUAUAAAGAGUGUACGUAUUAUGGGAAUGAAAUUUAAUGUUUUAGACAAAGUUCAUCAUAUACUAGUAUAUUGUUUAACGAACAUAUUAAAACACUUGUUAUUACAUUCUUAAAACAUAACAGAACAUAUUCCUCAUAUGUGGUAAACUUAUCUAUUAGAUAUAAGAAGAUGUGGUAUAUAUGUUUGAGUGCCAAUGAGACAAAUCUCCAUCCAAGUCACAAUUAAUAAAAAUAAACAAUUAUAGAUCAAGGUACAGUCUUCAACACGGAACCUUGGCUCACACCGAACAGCAAGCUACAAAGGACCCAAGCUAUAAAGGACCCAAAAAUAUUACCAGUGUAAAACCAUUCCCACGGGAAAACUAACGGUAUAAUCUAUAUAAACAACGAGAAACGAGAAACACUUAUGAACCACAUAAACAAACGACAACCACUAUUACGUUUAGAUGAACAUCAUGAGUGCAAAGAUAGAGGUGGGAACAAAUGAAGAUACACGUAUCUCCUUGUAUCUGUGACUUACUGUCUAAUAAACUUCAUUCUAGAUCUAUUUCCUCUAAUUCUGUCAACAUUUAUAUUUGGUGAUAAAAAUUUAAAUUUUCCACUUCACUGUUGUUUCUUUUCGUGAUGGAUAUUUUACUUUAAUCAGCUUUUGUGGUCCACGACAAACUGACCACUCAUAUUAACUGAUAAAUGUACAAGUAUUCGUAAAGUGUACUACGGAAACCUUUUAGGGCCAUGCUUGUCUACUUUUUGCAAUUUGAUAUAACAAACUAUAAAGUUGAUAUAACAAAUUAAUGAUUUGAUAUAACAAAUUAAUGAUUUGAUAUAACAAAUUAUUAUUUUGAUAUAACAAAUUAUCAGUUUGAUAUAACAUAUUUUCGAUUUUGAUAUAACAAGCUAUUAAUUUGAUAUAACAGAUUAUCAAUAUGAUAUAAUACAUUAUCAAUUUGAUAUAACAAAUUAUCAAUUUGAUAUAACAAAUUAUCAAUUGAUAUAACAAAUUAUCAAUUUGAUAUAACAAAUUAUCAAUUUGAUAUAAUAAAUUAUUAAAGUGAAUAACCCGAACUGGCGCAUUUCGUUGUAUAAUCUGACGUCCAGUAACAAAUUAUAAUGCAUUUUCAAAACUCAAUUACAGGUUAAAUGUUUCUAUAACAACGCUCCCCCCCUUUCCCUUUUAUUUGAGACAAUUUCGGACUUCUUUCUCAAUUCGAAUAUGGGACCUGGUGCGUAGAACGAACAAAUAUAAUAGAGAAAAGGGGAGUCUAUUUGAGAAAUUUAUAUACAUAUUUUUCAUGUCAAAGCGAAAGGAAGAGUUCUAUUGAGAUGUUAGUUUUUUAGGAACAUAGGAACAUGCAAGGAUAAACAAUAAUGCUCUUUCUUCUUCAAAAAACCCCUGAACAUGUUGCUUUAUUAAAUCAAUAGGAGCAUGUUUAAUCCCGCUGCAAAACGUUUGCACCUGUCCUAAGUCCUGGAAUCUAAUGUACAGUAGUUGUUGUUUGUUUAUUGUAAUUUAUACGUGUUCUCAUUUAUAAAUUUUUUUAUAUAGAUAAGACCCUUGGUUUUCCCGUUUGAAUGGUUUACACUAAGUAAUGUUUGAGGCCCUUUAUAGCUUGCUGUUCGGAUGUGAUCUUAGGCUCCGUGUUGAAGGCCGUACAUUGACCUAAAAAAUAGUUUACUUUUAACAAAUGUUAACUCGAUGAGAGUUGACUCAUUGCACUCUAACACAUGGUACAUCUCCUACAUUUUAUGAAAAAAAGAAUUUAUAAAACAUUCCUCAAUUCAUCAAUGCAUUUGUCUUAAAUAAAUUUGUUUCAAAAAAUAAUUUUUAUUUUGAUUUUUUAUUAAAAUAAACCUGCGUGAGAUUUUGAAAUGGAUAUGGAAUUCAAUUUCUGUUAAAAAAAGACCACACAAGUAUAAUCUGAGCCACCUUAUAACGUUGUAAUAUAUAGAAAAAGGAUUUCAGAUCAUGAGUAAUUGCCAAACACAUUUAGGUCCUUUAAUCUCUAAAACGCUAAAAACGUUUCACUUAUUAAUAUAUAUCAUUUAUGUUAAAUAGAGAAGGGGGAUAACCGUUAUCCAUGCAUAAGUAAUUUGACAUAUCAAAUUCCUUUUUGUUAUAUCAAAUUUAAAAUUUGUUAUAUAAAUAAUUAUAUCUGUUAUAAUCACAGUAAUAAUCUGUUAUAUCAAAUUGAUAAUCUGUUAUAUCAAAUAUAUCUGUUAUAUCAAAAUCAAAAAUGUUAUAUCAAAUUAAUAUCUGUUUAUCAAAUUGAUAUCUUAUAUCAAAAAAAUAAUCUGUUAUAUCAAAAUCGAAAAUCUGUUAUAUCAAAUUUAUAAUUUGUUAUAUCAAAUUGUAAAAAGUAGACUAGCAUGGCCCUAAAAGGCUUCCAUAGUAAAGCAUAUUUACUCCUAUCAGUUUCUGUGGUCCACGACAAACUGACAAACUUAUCUUAACGGAUAUAUUUUCAAGUAUUCUUGAUCCAUAUUUUACUCUUAUCAGUAAAUAAAUUAGACUUAUGAUUAUAGACAGACAUUAAUCUGUAAUCAGAUAUCCUGUUCAAAUUAGGAUUUUGUCUCUCCUGAUAAAUAACAAAAACAAUAAUCAAAGAGACAAGGCUAAUAGUUUUGAAUUCAAUUCUUGUGUUUCGUUUGCAUACGACUCGUAAUUGGAAGUACACACAUUACUUAUUUGCUUUCAUAGUUAAAUGUUUCGGAAAAAAAAAAUAGUUUCCUUAUGUGCGUUGUGGCACCUUUAAAUUCCACAAUUCCUCUAAAGUCCACAACACCGCUUAAGUCCACAACUAUUUUCCGCUAAAGUCCACAACGCCGUUGAAGUCGACAAAAUCUUCGCGGCUAAAAGUCCACAAAAUGACGGUGGGGUCCGCCAAAGUCCACAACAGAAAAUCCGCCGUUAAAAGUCCACAAAGCAUACGUUCCGCUAAAGUCCACAUAAAAAGUCGACCGUUAAAGUCCACACUCAUUUUUUUUAUGUUAAAAACCACAUAGUAUUUCAUUAUUUAUCUCGUAGUAUAAUACUAAAGCACUGUGGCCUUCUUCUCGUAAGGUAUGUCACGUUUUACUGCAGUUUGAUACAAAUGAAAAAAGUAAAGUAUCGAUAUGAUUCUUGUAUUUCCAUUAAUUAUUAAUCUUUGAAUGAAUGGAUGGCCAAGUUUGGACAUCAUUUCCAAAAAAUUGUAAAUCGCUUAGUUUCAUUAUUUUCUGGGCAUUCGUACAAGUACAUUUUUCUCUUAUUAUCUUGGUUGCAUAUAAUCUAAUUUUUGACAUAAAUUAAUGUACAAGCAAAAGGCUGCCUUUUCCUAAUUUUAUAAUAUUGAACGGCAUUCAUUCAGGCAACAUGUCUUGGAUUAUAUUCAUUAAACAAAAAAUUACCUAAGUUUAUAGAAUUCCCAAAGGUCACCGUUUGUCGCAAAACUUUUAACAAAGUUAACGUUACUUAUUAAAUUUCGGUGUUCGUUAUAGAAACAACUGAAAAUAAUGUGUUAUGAUUUUUCAGAACGAAAAUGAAGUCAAAGUAUGAGAAAUUUUACAUAAAAAAAAUGCGUAUGCUUUAAAUAUAUUUUAUCGAUUGCUCGGCUAUCGAUGCGUUGAAUAUGGGUCCUGAAACCAAACGUAACACCUAAGUACCUGGUUAUCGAUAUAGGAAGUUGUGGAGCGCCAUGAGAUAUCUCUAUCCAAGAAGUUAAAUUAUAUAUUAAAGUAAAACCCAGUAGAGCGUCAAGUUCGGGCCUCAACACGAACUUGGCUCAUGUGCACGAACAUGCAAGCUAUAAAGGUCCCUGGGUCAAAAAUGCAGUAGUGUAAACCCAUCUCAAACGAGAAAACAAUGCCCAAUAAAUGGCUUAAAAAAAUAUACAUACUUCUAGUUGUUUAUUUGGUUGAAAUGUUUAAUCACAUGUAAAUCUACCACGAAGAUUCAUUCUUGUAGUCAAACUCAACAAACGCUAAAUCUGUCACAGUAACCAAAAAAAUUAUUGAAAAGAAACAGAACAUUCUUUGAUAUAGGUGUAAUAUUAUAUCGUUAAAGUCAGCUUGAAAAUUUCAUACAAUCUUCCAUUUAGCUUUCAAAAUACUAAAAAAAGUAUCUUGAAACGAGCAUAAAGAAAGGAAUUUAACUCUGAUAGCGAUAAACGUAACUUGAUGUGACUCGUAUUAUCAAUCAAUGAUCACUAUAGGAAUAGUUUAAACCAAUAAAUGUUGUUUCGGUGGCUGAAUGCAAGGAUGACGUCCUAUCGUUAUUCUAUAUCACAUCCUGUCUUUAUCAUAUCUUAUCACCCUUCCAAUGCCUGCAUAGCACAUUCAUUUAAUUAGUUCUUGAUUUUCUCAUCACACAAAGACAUCAGCAAGUGAAUUGCAAAUAAAAAAAUAUACAUUGACGGCAUUUACAGUGGAUUUUCACAAACGUCUAUUUGUGAAAGCGUAAAGAAUUGUUUGAAGUAUAUAUUUGUUAUUUGGUCACAGUUCGUUCUGUUUACUUUUCUUCUGUUAUUGUUUUCUCUGUGGUGCACAAUGCAAAUUUUUGAUAAAACUAUAUAAAUUUCUUUGUGGAUAUCAUCAGAAAAUUGACAAUCAACGCUUCAAAAUAGAUAUAUUACCAAAUAAACAAAUAAGCCUAUGAGAGUUCUGCUUCUAUUGGUACUAAUUUUGAUUAAAAUUUACAUGAAAUAGUCUCUAAAUAUUUGUUAUGAAAAAAAAAACGUAGAUUUUCAUGAUAUAUAUAACAAUUAGUUGUAGGUGACAAAUACUUCUGACCAUUAUACUCUAAGUUAGCUUGACGGUUUUUGAAGUACAACGUCCCUAAAUGUUCUAAAAACUUAUCUUCCAAAAUAUACAUGUAUGUACUUCCAUAACUGCAAUUGCAAUUUGAGCAUUUGAACUCAAUUUCAUACUAAAAAAUAUAGCGUCACUUUUUUAUUUGGUUAAAGUUUCUAUUUAAUUUUCUCACUCUUGACAUAUGCACAUGUAUGGUCGACCUCGUACAGUACGAGCAUACGUUCAGGUAUACUUAUGUGGUCCAGACCGUACGCGUACAGUUCAAAUACUUAUAUUGUAUGGAACAUAUAUACAUGUAGCAUUGUUGAAAUGCAUUUUUUAUACUUGAACUCAUCAUGGAUAAUACACAAUACAGAACCACAGCCGCGUAUAAUUUAUUCAAUUCAUCGUUCAUUCUGAAACAAAUUUUGAAUUGUUUUACAUUGUCUUAUCGGGGCCUUUUAUAGCUCACUAUGCGGUAUGGGCUUUGCUCAUUGUUGAAGGCCGUCGGUGACUAUAGUUUUUAAUCGGGGGUCUGGUGUCUAUGUUGGUCCUUUGUGGAUAGUUGUCUCAUUGGCGAAUCAACCUACAUCUUUUUUUUUUAAUCAUUUUACUUUUUGAAAACAAAAACAAACAUGCAAACAAAAGAGUGAUGAAAUCUGCUUACAAACCCAAAAGCAUGAACUUGCGGUAUCUUUCAUUAUUUGAAUUUCAAACAAGAAACAUGCAUGGUCAAGGUCCUUAUUUUGAGAUUUACCGUGACGUUUUUGGGCUGCUCGUGGAGGCUUUUACAGACACUCGAUGGAAUCGUACUUAGUUUAUAGAUUAUUUGCAAAGGAGAGUUUACCCAUGUCAAAUAUAGGUUCCAAUUAUGUCCUCUGCAGCAAAAAUACAUAAGAAACGCUAUCACUGGGGUAGCUGAAUGACCGUAACUGCAUUCACGGUCAUCCCAAGAUGUCGGAUGAAAAAUUAGGUCAGUUUCUGUAUUGUCUAUUAAAGUGUUUCUAUAUCAUUUUCUUUACAAAUCAUACAUUGAAACGAUGAAAAUUUAUAAAAGAUUCACUCGAAAAUCACUAAUUACUUCCGAGAAAUGUGCAUGAAACGGGAAAUUCGAUUUGAAAAAAUCGUGAAGAUGACCGUAAAUCAUAAUCAAAAUAUUUUCAAGAUGACCGUAACAUAUAUUAUCCCCGGCUUAGUAUAUACAGGAUUUUGAUUGGUUAAACGGCCACGUCGUUACAAAACCCAUAGCCCCUGGGUGUGCGAACGCCAUAUCUCCGGACGUUGCUAACCAUAUUCCGGGAAUUCACGCAAGUUUUGCGUUAGUUCCAGUGAUUGCUCUUUGAAAUAUGUGAGAUUCUUAGAUUAACCAUAAUGUGUGUAAUUAAAUAUUUAUUCAUUAACAGAUUUGUCACUAUACUAGUAUGCCAGAUUAUGUUACAUUCAUUUCAUUAAAUGCGAUCACUUGACUGCUAACAUAUUCAAGAAUGAACUACUCGACCUAGCUAUGCAAAUGACCCAACGUGACGUCACAAACCAUCUAUGGCGUAACGCCAUCAACCAUUGAGCUGCCAAAUUGACUCUAUCCAGUUCUCUGUCUCUGUAUUAAACUGACUUAUAUUUUACUACCUGUAGGUUCUACCGAAAGUGUUAGUAACCCGUACAUCCCGGUAAAAAAUAUUAAAAAUUCCAAAUUUUCAAAAAACUUUUUUAGAUAGAAAAAAACGUGUGUUUCGCGUUACAUUUUGUACCCGAUUUCCAUAAAACUCGCCCGAUCGGCGUAAAGAACCGGGAUAAAUUUCGUUAUCUACCGCUUCAUAUCCGUAGAUAACUUAUAAUCAUUUUUCAUUAUAUCUGUCAAGUGUCAUUUUAUCUGCGCUAUUGUAGUCAUGUUUUCCUACCUGUUUAUUUGCCUGUCUUUUUGCAAAAUUUUUCACCAAAAUUAAACUCACAGUAAAAAAGAUACAUAGGUAAACAUUUGCCUUUGAAGCAACGUCUUAAUUUGUCUUGUCUACUACUAGAUAAUCACCUCACAUAGAUUAAUAUGUUUAUACACAACCACGAUUUAUUAUUUGUACAAAAAGGUAGUUUAUAUUAAAUAUGCGGAUAUUUCUUCAGAAUUGAGGGUCAUCCUUUAAAUGUUACGUCAUCGCAUUACAAAUUAAACGUCACUUAAACCAAUUACGUCACCCUUGUUAUAAUCGCUGUUCGUACGGUCAUUCUCGAUUUUGAUUUUACGGUCAGCUUCACGAUUUUUAAAUUCGAAAUUCCUUGUUUCAUGCACAUCUCUCUUAGUAUAGUGGAUUUCCGUGUGAUCUUUAUAAAUUUUCAUCGUUUCAAAUGUAGAUUUGUCAAAGAAAAUGAUAAUAGAAACACUUAACAGACAGAUACAGAAAACUGACACUAAGUUUUCAUAGACGACAUCUUGGAUGACCGUGAAUGCAGUUUACGGUCAUUAGCUUUACCCCAGUGGCUAUGUUGGAGUUUCUUGUGGAUGGACAAAUGUUUACUUAAGAAUAAAAAGAGUAUAAUAGCUACAUAAUUUUUCAGAAAUGUUGUCUGUUUGAUUGAUAGAAAAUCGCAAAACAAAUAUCAAAUUUACGGUGAUAAAGCAAAUAUUAUAAUCUUCAUUCAUCAAAAAUAUAAUUUAUGCUGACAAGAUAUACUUUCUUAGAACAAAAGUCCAUGCUUUUAAUUAGAUCUAUAAUAACGGGUGUAAAAAACAGAAAAUUGAUCUUUUGAUAAUAAAAAAAAGAUUUUUUGGACUUUAACGGUGCUUUUUUGUGGACUUUAGCGGAACUUGCUAUUGUGGACUUUAACGGCGUUUUCUUGUGGACUUUAGCGGAGGUAAUUUUGUGGACUUUAGCGGAAAGUUUGUGGACUUCAACGGCGUUGUGGACUUUAGCGGAAAAUUGUUGUGGACUUUAGCGGUGUUGUGGACUUUAGGUGAAUUGUGGACUUUAACGGUGCCACAGUGCGUAAAUUACUGUAUAAUAACAUAGCAUUUUCGACGACAAUUCAGUAUUCCUUUCAACUACCGUGGCCAACGAUUGAAAUGCUUCAUUAAACUGUUAAAUAUAAAAGUCCAUUUUUUCAAUGAUUUGUAUGAACAAAAUAAUUGCAAAUUCAAUUGAUUUUUUCAAUUUUUUCGGUGUUGUGUUAAAAAAAUCUUUGUAUACAUCUACCAAGAAAUAGUAUAUUCCUUUAUAUACACUUUGAUGACCAAACUAGUGAUCAGUGUGGUGUACAUGCACUUCUUAUGACAACUUAUGAAAUAACGAUUACUAAGUCAUUGAAAUUACUUUUUUUUUUUUUAUCAGAAGUGGAUUUAUGUGGUAACAUGUUAUGUCACCUGAUGAA
This 13175-nucleotide long non-coding RNA is filed under the name Mytilus galloprovincialis (Mediterranean mussel). The record is from RNAcentral. Lineage: Eukaryota; Metazoa; Mollusca; Bivalvia; Mytilida; Mytilidae.